Alosa alosa (allis shad) is the source of this 980-nucleotide long non-coding RNA. RefSeq lists it as uncharacterized. The record is from RefSeq and is a predicted model, not a curated record. NCBI's taxonomy places the organism in Eukaryota, Metazoa, Chordata, Actinopteri, Clupeiformes, Clupeidae. The transcript has 3 exons.
UGACAAGAGAAGGAGGUUCACACAGACUCAGAAGAAUGAAAAGAGUUUGGCUUUUUCUAUUUGCUUGUAUCUUUGUUGUCGUGUGUGUAUCUGUGUUUGUGUAUUUAUAUGUAGCCAAAAAUAAUGACGACAAAAACUAUAAAAGUCAUUCAGUUAAUACUGAUGUUGAAGUUACAUUCGAACUUGAUAAUGAAUAUGAUGGUGAUUAUGAGUAUGACGAUCCACCAAAUGACACAACAACUCUCAAGAACAAUGUAUCAGCCACAGCUGAGUCUGUUGUUCCAGUUAUAUUCAAGGGUUAAAGUGAGGGGGAAUGGGGAGGAACGCAGUUCCGCCACCUCAGAUAAAUUAAUAAUAAAUACAUUCUUUCAUAUCAAUGAUGUAGCGCAAUGAUAUUGUUAAAAUAAAUAGUGAGUUAAUUUUUCGUGUGAGUAUGCUGUCCAACGAUGAGUCAUUUUUCCCCGUUGCACCGACACUGGAUUUUAGGGUUCCCUCAGCUGCUAAAUCCCACUUUAACCACUGGUUAUAUUCACACUUCAUGGUGAGGGUGAUGGCUAUGAUUAUGAGUAUACCAAUCAACCAGACGACACGGACCAUACCACAACUCUCAGGACUAGUCCCUCUACCAGCCCUUUAUGAUGAAUGAGACACCUGGGCAUGAGGAUCACCUUGAAGAUACACCUGCCUCCAUUUUAUUAACACAUAAGGAUUAUGUUGGCAGACGCGGACUGAUGCCCAGAGCCAGAUGAAGAAAACCACCAUCGGGAUCUUUGUAAUCAAACAUGAGGGUGCCAAUGCCUCCACUAGAAGAUGUAGACAUUAUAGUUGAAUCACUAACAAUGUAACAAAACUAAACAUGCUGUGUUUAGCAGAGAUAUUUUUCUGUUCAUUGCAUUUCUAUUUUACUAAAAAAUGUCCCUGAUGGAUUGAUGAGAAUGGAGACAAAGGUUGCUGCUAAAUAAAUGCAGAUUUGUUUUGAA